UUUAAGCGUAGUUAUAGAUUUCCGUGUCCAAUAUUUAAUUAUUCGUUUUAUUUAAAUUUUUUUAUGAUUAAUAUUUUUGUUGUUAUUAGAUAAUGCGUGAUUUAAUUUUUUUUCAUAAAUUUUUAAAUAAGAUGGAUAAAUAAGAUGGAUGGUCAAACAUUAAACACAAAACUCACAGCUACGUUUAAA
This is a non-coding RNA of Oryza glaberrima (African rice), 189 nucleotides long. The record is from Rfam. Lineage: Eukaryota; Viridiplantae; Streptophyta; Magnoliopsida; Poales; Poaceae.